AGAAGCUGGCGUUCGGAGAAAAGGAAACUUUUCGCUCAAUGGUAGCAGAAUACCGCAGAAGUGAAAAAGUCCUGCGAGAAAAGAUCCAGGUUUCAUCUUCUGUUGCUCAUCACCAUCUCUUCCUCUUUCUUCUCGUCGACUUUACCGUCGCAUAUAAGAUGAGAAAGUUAGGAUAAGCAUGUUUUCCGACUUUCAGCUGCUUCAUCGACUGUAUGCUUUCUUUCGGAGGAUACGAAACGAUGGUGCUUCGUUAUACCGAAGCUUUCUAUUUGCCUAUGUGGAGCACAUUUGGGUCACACGAGACAACACCGAGGUCGAUCGUAUCGGACAAAGUCUUACACUAUGUCAUUGGACAAAUGACAUCCGCGGCAAUAUCUGUGCCAACUUUGAAGAGCUGAGA
Musa acuminata subsp. malaccensis (wild Malaysian banana) is the source of this 400-nucleotide non-coding RNA. Lineage: Eukaryota; Viridiplantae; Streptophyta; Magnoliopsida; Zingiberales; Musaceae. The record is from RefSeq and is a predicted model, not a curated record.